CGUGUAGGCGGCUAGGUAAGUCAGAUGUGAAAGCCCCAGGCUCAACCUGGGAAGUGCAUUUGAAACUGCUUGGCUAGAGUGAGGGAGAGGAAGGUGGAAUUCCUGGUGUAGAGGUGAAAUUCGUAGAUAUCAGGAGGAACACCCGUGGCGAAGGCGGCUUUCUGGCCCUUUUCUGACGCUGAGACGCGAAAGCGUGGGGAGCAAACAGGAUUAGAUACCCUGGUAGUCC
This 229-nucleotide ribosomal RNA is filed under the name uncultured bacterium. Its description in RNAcentral is "partial 16S ribosomal RNA". It matches the Rfam family "Bacterial small subunit ribosomal RNA", at positions 568 to 796 of the family's 1533-position model. The record is from RNAcentral.